AUCUGGAUAGUUUAAAAAAAACGUUGGCUUGUGGCGCUUAAGAUGUAAAAUAUUACUCUAGGUA
Molecule: transfer RNA, 64 nt
Filed under: Pachygrapsus crassipes
Lineage: Eukaryota; Metazoa; Arthropoda; Malacostraca; Decapoda; Grapsidae
Description: tRNA-His
Source: RNAcentral